GAUAAAGGCUUAGUUGAAUUAAGUAUUCUUUUCCAAUUGUAAUUUAUGUUAAGAGAAAAGUUAUCUUAGGGCUGGUGCUCACAUGACCAUCCAAUGCAUGUUCAGUAAGGUUUAUUUUAAAAAUUCGUUGAGAAUCUUAUGAUUCAAUUGAAUUGUAAAGUUAAGAUUUCAAUUCUGAUUAUAUGGCAACUUUUUUGUUGCAGGGUCGAGUUAAUUU
This 217-nucleotide unclassified non-coding RNA is filed under the name Hevea brasiliensis (rubber tree). The record is from RNAcentral. Lineage: Eukaryota; Viridiplantae; Streptophyta; Magnoliopsida; Malpighiales; Euphorbiaceae.